GUAUCUUACCAUGCAGUCGUACGAGGAUCUCUCGGGUUAGAAUAAUUCGGCGGUUCGAGUGGCGCACGGGUGAGUAACACGUGGGUAACCCACCCUUGAGACCGGGAUACCCUCUCGAAAGGGAGGCUAAUACUGGAUACGUUCCCCGGGACGCAAGAUCUGGGGAGGAAAGGUGGCGAAAGCUGCCGCUCUUGGAGGGGCUCGCGGCCUAUCAGCUAGUUGGUGAGGUAAUGGCUCACCAAGGCUAUGACGGGUAGCUGGUCUGAGAGGACGACCAGCCACACGGGAACUGAGACACGGUCCCGACUCCUACGGGAGGCAGCAGUGGG
This 329-nucleotide ribosomal RNA is filed under the name uncultured bacterium. RNAcentral describes it as "bacterial SSU rRNA". It matches the Rfam family "Bacterial small subunit ribosomal RNA", at positions 54 to 354 of the family's 1533-position model. The record is from RNAcentral.